GCCGAGGUGGUGAAACUGGUAGACACGCUACCUUGAGGUGGUAGUGCCCGAUUAGGCUUACGGGUUCAAGUCCCGUCCUCGGCA
This 84-nucleotide transfer RNA is filed under the name Candidatus Hoaglandella endobia. It matches the Rfam family "tRNA". Rfam says of the family: Transfer RNA (tRNA) molecules are approximately 80 nucleotides in length. Their secondary structure includes four short double-helical elements and three loops (D, anti-codon, and T loops). Further hydrogen bonds mediate the characteristic L-shaped molecular structure. tRNAs have two regions of fundamental functional importance: the anti-codon, which is responsible for specific mRNA codon recognition, and the 3' end, to which the tRNAs corresponding amino acid is attached (by aminoacyl-tRNA synthetases). tRNAs cope with the degeneracy of the genetic code in two manners: having more than one tRNA (with a specific anti-codon) for a particular amino acid; and 'wobble' base-pairing, i.e. permitting non-standard base-pairing at the 3rd anti-codon position. Lineage: Bacteria; Pseudomonadati; Pseudomonadota; Gammaproteobacteria; Enterobacterales; Enterobacteriaceae. The record is from Rfam by way of RNAcentral.